GGUGCCAUAUAUGCAGCACGAUGUACGAGACUUUUACAAAUAUGAAUCUGUUACUGUUAAACAGGGGGAGCAACGAAUUGUGCUUCGGUUCACAUUGGUGAGAUCCGAGCUGGGGGAGUAAGGGGGAAUCAUAGACACCAUUCUUGCAAUGAGACAUUUGUUAUUUGGGGAGCCAAAACCUUAUUUAGGGUGAGUUUUAAGUUACUAAUUCAUAUCAUUUGUCUAAUUCACUGUGUUUCACUUACUGUGUGUUUCAUUGUAAAGCCUGUCCUAUUUUCCUUGAGCAUAAUAGUUUCAAGAAAGUUAUUAUUUGGCUUGUGGAAAUUCAUCAGUUAGGAAAUUCUCUCAAGUUAUAACCAAAAAGGCUGGUUUCUUUCCCUUCUUUUUUUUAGCGUUUUAUCAGCUGGGAUUUGUCAUUAGUUUUCUAUAAAAGAGUAGAUAUCCUAUAAUUCUGCCAUUUAGCAAAAAAAAAAAAAAAGAAUAGCUUUUGGAGCUUGAAUUUUGCUGCUUAUUUAUUUUAAGCGGUCAAUGCUCAUAGAGAAACUAUAGAAAGCUUUGUAUACUAACAGAGAGUUUAUGCUGGAGAGGAUUGUUCUUCUUUUUGUAGUAUUUCUUAGACUAGUGGGACUGAAUGGGAGGGUAGUUGCAGAAGUAUGUCUAGAACAUUUAUAAUAUGCAUUUUUUGGGUCUUAGAUGGUUAUGGGUUGCUAAAAGCCUGCAUGACUAAAGAGGUGCAGCAGCUUUAAUUGUUUCUCUGGUGCCGUUAAUUUGUAUUUGAUCAAAGUCUUUUCCCUGGAAUUUGUUCUUGCCUCAACUAGUACAGAAGGGAGAAGAAAAUUUGCCAUUUGAUUUUGACGACAUGUAAUAUGUCAUAAUAGAAUUGCCAGCAAUAGUUUCUGUUUGCAUAAACAAUUGAAUGUAAUUUGGGGCCAAUGACACUGUUUGGGCAUUCUGGUUCAAGGAGGUCAACUAUUUCUAUUUCUUCAUAAUUAGAUUGAAUACUAUAUGUCAAAAAAAAAAAAAAAUCUUUUUCUUUUCUUUUUCUUGUCUAGUCUUCCUUCCUCAAGCCACAAAUUCACAGACUCCGCUUGGCAUAAUUUUCUCUAUAUUCAUGUAUUUUAAAGGAUUACUUACAAAGUAGAGUUUAAUACUUGGGCUUUUCCUCUAGCUCUAAGUAUAUAGAGAAGGUGAAACACAGGAGUCUUGAUGCAUCAGUCAUUGUGGUGCAGCUCAAGUUAACAUGAAAUUAGGAGCAUGCUGGAGAGAAUCACUUAAAAACCAAUCUUACUUUUCCCUCUAUUGAUCUUUAUUUAGUUAUUUGGGGAACUGAUCAACUUUUUUUGAACAAAGUGGAUAGCCUAACUUUUAUGAAGUUUAAUAUGUGCCCUAGUAAGACAUCCUACAAAUUCUGUAGUUUGUUUGUGCCUUAGCACCAAUCAAGUUUCUGCAACUAGCAUUUGCUGCAGUAUUUAUGUUUGUGUGUAACAUUGUUCCAACUGUGGUAUAUUAUAUGUUCAACAGAGAACUGUCAUUUCCAGCUGUGGUGUUAAGAGUUUCUUUAAUUUUUUUUUUUUGUCAAAUAAAGAUACUGGUAAGGACUAUUGUUUUCUGUGGGGCGGUAAAGACAUAAAGACAAAUCAGUGCACACUUGAAAUCAAGCUGUGAGUACUGAUUUUGUCAUUUGCCAUUCGAGGAUACAUGAUUUGGCUUCAAAAAUUAAACAUUUUCCAAGAUUGAGGGGGAUUGUCAUUUUCACUUGACUAGUUGAAUUCACAUUUAAAGUUCGCACAUUUACUUUAUGUUUUGCUUGAAUCUGAAACUAGACUAAACCAUGCUGAUGCCUCAGCUGGGACUACUGGGUUUACUAAACAAGUCAACUCUAAGAUUCAGUUCACUGAGAUCAUCUUUUUUUUUUCUGAAAAUCCUAGUUUUAUAGUGCAUGCACUUAACAUUUUCUAUGAACUGCAGCUAAAAGAGCUCGUCUUUGGGCUGAUCGCUUAAUAUGGUUAUUAUUCUUCUGAUUGAUAGCAUCUGACUUUUAUUGUCAAAUAAGCCCUUUUAGAGUUGACUUGUAUAGAUAUAUAACGAAAAACACUUCAAAACAUCAACUCAAACAAAUCUGGAACUUAAGAUUUGGCCAAUAUGCUUUAACAUUUUGCACCAAGGCGGUAGAGGAACUGAUAACAUGCAUGCUUAACGUUGCAUACUAGAGAACUGCUCUCAAGCUCUUAUUUGCAGCAUAACAUGCAAUUUGUUGGUUGCGUGCUCAAGUUACUUUCAUAAGCUUAAUUUGCUGGAUCCUGAAUUUCUUUCUUUUACACCUGUAAUGCCAUCUGAUUGGUGCUGUCAUCUAUCUAUUUGUUCUUCACUUCUUCUUCCUUCACUCUAUUAGUUAAAUCUCAACAUACAAAUGUAUUUUUGCAGUUGGAAAAUAAUUUGGUUGACAAAGGCUAUGCUGAGGUGAUAGUUGGUGCAGAUGAGGUAGCUGUUGCAGCUAGUCCAAGUGGAAAAGCACAUGCUUUGGUAAACCUGGAUGCUCUGAGGAGUACAUUCUUCUUGGGGUGCCAGGAUAAUAUUAUCAAUUACAAUGACUCUACUUCUGACUUCAAUGUAUGGAAAGAUAUUUAGUUCUUUGAUCUUGUUAUUUCCGUAGCAUGGUUGGUUUUUUUUUUUUUAAAUAUAUAGUGUCAGCUAUCUCAGGGUUUUCAUCUUUGCUCCAGUUCUCUUUUAGCUGGGAGCCUUGUACAAGUAGCGGAAAAAGUUAUGAUAACCUUUUGUGUCACGUUGUAGUUCCUUUUUUGUAGUGAACUACCAAACCUGCAAAAACAAAUUACCUUCUAGUUCAAUCAAAUGCGAAAAUAAUACUACUAAUGGUAACCAAAUUGUAUCCUAAAAUGGCGAAAAUCAACUGAACGCUUCUAUGGCAAAUCCUCCAAGUAGAAGAACAUCAUCUUCUUCAUCUUCAUCAUCACCUUAUUCUGGCAGUAAUUACCUGCUUCCAAUUUCAGAUACCAACAAUAACAACAACCAAUUUCAAUCCCAAGCCACUGCAGCUACAGCAACAAUUAGACUAGUAAAUUCCAUCAAAAUCUUCCUCAGAAAACCCCAUGCUUUCCCUUUUCUCCUUUCCAUUUUCCUUUUUCUCACAUGGGUUUCCCUCAGAAUCCAGCAUCAUCAGCAUCCUAGGAGUGAUUUCAACACUUGGGCUCUGAAAUUGGGCAAUAAGGGUAAAGAUGAGGACGCCAAUCUUGUGAGGUUUCACUCUAUGUCGUCCUCUAUUGUGAAAGAUAAACGUGGGUGGUUUGUUGAUCCUGUUUCUCUCGGUCUUCAAGCUGGCAUUUCAGGUCUGAAUAUAUUUCUCUAUCCCUCCCAAAAACCGCCCCAAUUUUUUGUUCAAGGUGCCAUAUAUGCAGCACGAUGUACGAGACUUUUACAAAUAUGAAUCUGUUACUGUUAAACAGGGGGAGCAACGAAUUGUGCUUCGGUUCACAUUGGUGAGAUCCGAGCUGGGGGAGUAAGGGGGAAUCAUAGACACCAUUCUUGCAAUGAGACAUUUGUUAUUUGGGGAGCCAAAACCUUAUUUAGGGUGAGUUUUAAGUUACUAAUUCAUAUCAUUUGUCUAAUUCACUGUGUUUCACUUACUGUGUGUUUCAUUGUAAAGCCUGUCCUAUUUUCCUUGAGCAUAAUAGUUUCAAGAAAGUUAUUAUUUGGCUUGUGGAAAUUCAUCAGUUAGGAAAUUCUCUCAAGUUAUAACCAAAAAGGCUGGUUUCUUUCCCUUCUUUUUUUUAGCGUUUUAUCAGCUGGGAUUUGUCAUUAGUUUUCUAUAAAAGAGUAGAUAUCCUAUAAUUCUGCCAUUUAGCAAAAAAAAAAAAAAAGAAUAGCUUUUGGAGCUUGAAUUUUGCUGCUUAUUUAUUUUAAGCGGUCAAUGCUCAUAGAGAAACUAUAGAAAGCUUUGUAUACUAACAGAGAGUUUAUGCUGGAGAGGAUUGUUCUUCUUUUUGUAGUAUUUCUUAGACUAGUGGGACUGAAUGGGAGGGUAGUUGCAGAAGUAUGUCUAGAACAUUUAUAAUAUGCUUUUUUUGGGUCUUAGAUGGUUAUGGGUUGCUAAAAGCCUGCAUGACUAAAGAGGUGCAGCAGCUUUAAUUGUUUCUCUGGUGCCGUUAAUUUGUUUUUGAUCAAAGUCUUUUCCCUGGAAUUUGUUCUUGCCUCAACUAGUACAGAAGGGAGAAGAAAAUUUGCCAUUUGAUUUUGACGACAUGUAAUAUGUCAUAAUAGAAUUGCCAGCAAUAGUUUCUGUUUGCAUAAACAAUUGAAUGUAAUUUGGGGCCAAUGACACUGUUUGGGCAUUCUGGUUCAAGGAGGUCAACUAUUUCUAUUUCUUCAUAAUUAGAUUGAUUCUAUUUCUUCAUAAUUAGAUUGAAUACUAUAUGUCAAAAAAAAAAAAAAA
Molecule: long non-coding RNA, 4447 nt
Filed under: Coffea arabica (coffee)
Lineage: Eukaryota; Viridiplantae; Streptophyta; Magnoliopsida; Gentianales; Rubiaceae
Description: long non-coding RNA (CARA_LNC004773)
Source: RNAcentral